GAUGAACGCUGGCGGCGUGCCUAAUACAUGCAAGUCGAGCGAACAGACGAGGAGCUUGCUCCUCUGACGUUAGCGGCGGACGGGUGAGUAACACGUGGAUAACCUACCUAUAAGACUGGGAUAACUUCGGGAAACCGGAGCUCAUACCGGAUAAUAUAUUGAACCGCAUGGUUCAAUAGUGAAAGACGGUUUUGCUGUCACUUAUAGAUGGAUCCGCGCCGCAUUAGCUAGUUGGUAAGGUAACGGCUUACCAAGGCAACGAUGCGUAGCCGACCUGAGAGGGUGAUCGGCCACACUGGAACUGAGACACGGUCCAGACUCCUACGGGAGGCAGCAGUAGGGAAGCUUCCGCAAUGGGCGAAAGCCUGACGGAGCAACGCCGCGUGAGUGAUGAAGGUCUUCGGAUCGUAAAACUCUGUUAUUAGGGAAGAACAAAUGUGUAAGUAACUAUGCACGUCUUGACGGUACCUAAUCAGAAAGCCACGGCUAACUACGUG
Molecule: ribosomal RNA, 497 nt
Filed under: uncultured bacterium
Lineage: Bacteria
Description: partial 16S ribosomal RNA
Rfam family: Bacterial small subunit ribosomal RNA
Source: RNAcentral